AGCGAACGCUGGCGGCAGGCUUAACACAUGCAAGUCGAACGGGCAUCUUCGGAUGUCAGUGGCAGACGGGUGAGUAACACGUGGGAACGUACCCUUCGGUUCGGAUUAACUCAUGGAAACUUGAUCUAAUACCGGAUACGCCCUUUUGGGCACAGGUUUACUGCCGAAGGAUCGGCCCGCGUCUGAUUAGCUUGUUGGUGGGGUAACGGCCUACCAAGGCGACGAUCAGUAGCUGGUCUGAGAGGAUGAUCAGCCACACUGUGACUGAGACACGGCCCAGACUCUUACGGGAGGCAGGAGAGGGGAAUAUUGGAAAAUGGGCGCAAGCCUGAUCCAGCCAGGCCGGGUGAGUGAUGAAGGCCUUAGGGUUGUAAAGCUCUUUUGUCCGGGACGAUAAUGACGGUACCGGAAGAAUAAGCCCCGGCUAACUUCGUG
RNAcentral lists this ribosomal RNA (435 nucleotides) under uncultured bacterium. RNAcentral's name for it is "partial 16S ribosomal RNA". It matches the Rfam family "Bacterial small subunit ribosomal RNA", at positions 29 to 507 of the family's 1533-position model. The record is from RNAcentral.